This 279-nucleotide ribosomal RNA is filed under the name uncultured bacterium. RNAcentral describes it as "partial 16S ribosomal RNA". It matches the Rfam family "Bacterial small subunit ribosomal RNA", at positions 506 to 784 of the family's 1533-position model. The record is from RNAcentral.
UGCCAGCCGCCGCGGUAAUACGGAGGGUGCGAGCGUUAAUCGGAGUUACUGGGCGUAAAGCGCACGCGGGCGGUUUGUUAAGCUAGAUGUGAAAGCCCCGCGCUCAACGUGGGAGGGUCAUUUAGAACUGGCAGACUAGAGUCUUGGAGAGGGGAGUGGAAUUCCAGGUGUAGCGGUGAAAUGCGUAGAGAUCUGGAGGAACACCAAUGGCGAAGGCAGCCACCUGGGUCAACACUGACGCUGAGGUGCGAAAGCGUGGGGAGCAAACAGGAUUAGAUA